GACGAACGCUGGCGGCGUGCUUAACACAUGCAAGUCGAACGGAAAGGCCCCAGCUUGCUGGGGUACUCGAGUGGCGAACGGGUGAGUAACACGUGGGUGAUCUGCCCUGCACUCUGGGAUAAGCCUGGGAAACUGGGUCUAAUACCGGAUAGGACCGUGCUUUAGUGUGUGCGGUGGAAAGUUUUUCGGUGCAGGAUGAGCCCGCGGCCUAUCAGCUUGUUGGUGGGGUAAUGGCCUACCAAGGCGGCGACGGGUAGCCGGCCUGAGAGGGUGUACGGCCACAUUGGGACUGAGACACGGCCCAGACUCCUACGGGAGGCAGCAGUGGGGAAUAUUGCACAAUGGGCGCAAGCCUGAUGCAGCGACGCCGCGUGGGGGAUGACGGCCUUCGGGUUGUAAACCCCUUUCGGCAGGGACGAAGCUUUUGUGACGGUACCGGCAUAAGAAGCACCGGCUAACUACGU
This 464-nucleotide ribosomal RNA is filed under the name uncultured bacterium. RNAcentral's name for it is "partial 16S ribosomal RNA". It matches the Rfam family "Bacterial small subunit ribosomal RNA", at positions 28 to 506 of the family's 1533-position model. The record is from RNAcentral.